Molecule: ribosomal RNA, 460 nt
Filed under: uncultured bacterium
Lineage: Bacteria
Description: partial 16S ribosomal RNA
Rfam family: Bacterial small subunit ribosomal RNA
Source: RNAcentral
CCUACGGGGGGCAGCAGUGAGGAAUAUUGGUCAAUGGACGAGAGUCUGAACCAGCCAAGUAGCGUGAAGGAUGACUGCCCUAUGGGUUGUAAACUUCUUUUAUAAAGGAAUAAAACGAGGCACGUGUGCCUUUUUGCAUGUACUUUAUGAAUAAGGAUCGGCUAACUCCGUGCCAGCAGCCGCGGUAAUACGGAGGAUCCGAGCGUUAUCCGGAUUUAUUGGGUUUAAAGGGAGCGUAGAUGGGUUGUUAAGUCAGUUGUGAAAGUUUGCGGCUCAACCGUAAAAUUGCAAUUGAUACUGGCAGUCUUGAGUACAGUUGAGGUAGGCGGAAUUCGUGGUGUAGCGGUGAAAUGCUUAGAUAUCACGAAGAACUCCGAUUGCGAAGGCAGCUUACUAAACUGCCACUGACGUUGAGGCUCGAAAGCGUGGGGAGCAAACAGGAUUAGAUACCCUUGUAGUC